GCAAAGUAGUCCUUUGACCUGAGGCAUCAUAGUUUUCUUGUGGUUAAGACCUUGAUCUUUGAUUAUGUCAAAGUCAUCCCACCAGGAGGGUGUCCACGGCAUCGUUGGGGUCAAGCCGCUUAGCUAUGGAGACAAGUGAAUGCGCAACAAGGGAUCUCUAACCUUCAAACCGUUUGAGGGAGAAUACUCUAUGAUAUGAUUUGAAUCUUUGGCCAAAGUAUGAAUGAGAUUAGGGAAUGCGUUCCGAAUCACAUUCAAGGUAAUCA
Molecule: long non-coding RNA, 266 nt
Filed under: Malus domestica (apple)
Lineage: Eukaryota; Viridiplantae; Streptophyta; Magnoliopsida; Rosales; Rosaceae
Description: long non-coding RNA (MDOM_LNC019052)
Source: RNAcentral